This is a long non-coding RNA of Strigops habroptila (Kakapo), 1229 nucleotides long. RefSeq lists it as uncharacterized. Lineage: Eukaryota; Metazoa; Chordata; Aves; Psittaciformes; Psittacidae. The transcript has 2 exons. The record is from RefSeq and is a predicted model, not a curated record.
GGGGCCGGGAGGAGCCUCCGGGGCGGGCGGGAGCUGCCACGUCUCCUGCGCGGAGCGCCGGGGCAGCCGGCCCCCGCCUCGGCUCCACGUGUGGCGGAGCGGGGAAGUUGCCGGCGGCCAGCUCGGGCUCUGCCCGUCCCUCCGUUUCUUGUGCAGCCAACCACUUGAAGGAGUAGGAACUCUUCAACCUCUUCUUUCAAAAGACUGCGAACUGUUUCCUGCUGUGCAACUCCCUUCACUCCCCCGUUUUGGUGAACAAAAGAUCCUAAGAGGAGGAUGAGGCAGCUGCGAGGAAAACCCAAAAAAGAGACCUCCAAAGAUAAAAAGGAGAGGAAACAGGCAAUGCAAGAGGCCCGGCAACAGAUCACCACCGUCGUGCUGCCCACGCUGGCGGUUGUAGUACUGCUGAUUGUUGUGUUCGUUUAUGUAGCCACUCGCCCAAACACGACAGAGUGAUGCAGCUCCUCACACUUCCCAGCCUUGGGGUUUUAACUGUUUUACCAAGAGGCAGAAGGAACCCUCUGCUCCUCUCUUAGUGCUUCACAGAGGAAUUUGUCAACUUCUCACUCUUUCUCUCAUAGGGUUCUGUGGAGUAUCUUUAGGAAUGUAACAUAAAACGUAUUUGUGAGCGUGCCGGUACGUUUUAUGGUCAGUUCAUGUGCCUUUCAGACUUUUAAAAUGGUGUUUUUCUGAAAUCCAUUGGAAGCUCUAUAUUGUAAAAGGAAAUUGUGCUCUGUUAUAAAUUUGUAUAAAAAUCAGCUUUCAGCUUUUAUCACUGUUACGGAUCAUGUUGCUCCCAUGAGCUCCUGGAUGUCUGUUUCAGAACUUCCAAAGAAGUGCAUUUCUUCUUUGUACUUACUGUCAUAUGAAGUGCUUUGAUUCAGAAAGGAUAUAUUUAUUUUUUGAAUAAAAGAGAGAAGUCUUGGAAUCUUCGAAUUAUUUUGCAAAAAAUGUGACUUAUUGGGAAAGCUGACAUUGUGUAAUGAUUUUUUUCAUUAAACACUCUAUAGUUCACCCAAAAAGAGUUCCUUUUGCUGUGAGAUGCCACCACAUCAAUUGAAUUCUUCAAGAUCUGCUGAAAGGAAUCUUAGAGAGGUUGGAAAUGGCAGUUUCUACCAGUUUAUGGCAACGUAACUAAAAAUGAGCAAUGUGAACAGAGACAGUUGUUUAUCUGAAUGUUAUAUAUUUAAAUCUAUGUAAGUGGCAAUAAAAGAUGAUUUUGGAUACAA